GCAUGCCUUACACAUGCAAGUCGAACGGCAGCACGGGGGUAACCCUGGUGGCGAGUGGCGAACGGGUGAGUAAUACAUCGGAACGUGUCCUGUAGUGGGGGAUAGCCCGGCGAAAGCCGGAUUAAUACCGCAUACGAUCUACGGAAGAAAGCGGGGGAUCCUUCGGGACCUCGCGCUAUAGGGGCGGCCGAUGGCAGAUUANCUAGUUGGUGGGGUAAAGGCCUACCNAGGCGACGAUCUGUAGCUGGUCUGAGAGGACGACCAGCCACACUGGGACUGAGACACGGCCCAGACUCCUACGGGAGGCAGCAGUGGGGAAUUUUGGACAAUGGGGGAAACCCUGAUCCAGCAANGCCGCGUGUGUGAAGAAGGCCUUCGGGUUGUACAGCACUUUUGUCCACAAAGAAAGCUUCUGCCCU
This 419-nucleotide ribosomal RNA is filed under the name uncultured beta proteobacterium. RNAcentral describes it as "bacterial SSU rRNA". It matches the Rfam family "Bacterial small subunit ribosomal RNA", at positions 42 to 461 of the family's 1533-position model. Lineage: Bacteria; Pseudomonadati; Pseudomonadota; Betaproteobacteria. The record is from RNAcentral.